This 655-nucleotide small RNA is filed under the name Pongo abelii (Sumatran orangutan). RNAcentral describes it as "retained intron". Lineage: Eukaryota; Metazoa; Chordata; Mammalia; Primates; Hominidae. The record is from RNAcentral.
GUCCAGUUCUGGCAGGUGUGUGGACCCAGGCACUGGGAAGACUCAGCGAGCCACUGGAAGAUCCUCAUCUUCAGAGUUUGCCCCACACCCUUCUAACUUGUCCCCUGUUUGUUGUUUGUCAUGAAGGCUGAGGACACUGAGCUCCAGGUGAAAACAUGUUCCUUUUUCCUUUAGUGAAGACCGAGGCAGUUUCAGGGGAUUGUCCCCUCCAGGGUCUGCUAAACUGUCUGAAGGAGCUCCCUGAGGCCCAGGACAGGCAUCCCAGUCCCUCAGGAGUGGCGAACCGACGGCUACAGGAGAAUCCAGGGGUCUGGAAAAAGGGUUCUGGAGGGCCUGGACACCUCCUGACCCCUCCUCCCCGUCCUGGUCUUGGAGCUGGCGGUCUGCUCUCUGUGAAGAUGGAGAACAGCUGGGUCCAGAGCCCCCCAGGACCUGCAUCCUGUCAGCCUGGCAGGCAGCCCCUCAGUCCCUCAGCCACUGGAGACACCAGAGGGAUCCCCCAACCCAGCUGGGGCCCUGAGGCUCAAGCUGCCAGUGCCUCAAGCUCACCACUAGAAGCCCUGGAAGCCUGUCUGAAGGGCAUUCCCCCAAAUGGGUCAUCACCUUCCCAGCUGCCACCCACUUCUUGUUCCCAGAACCCCCAGCGAGGAGACUC